This 594-nucleotide ribosomal RNA is filed under the name uncultured Bacteroidota bacterium. RNAcentral's name for it is "bacterial SSU rRNA". It matches the Rfam family "Bacterial small subunit ribosomal RNA", at positions 122 to 715 of the family's 1533-position model. Lineage: Bacteria; Pseudomonadati; Bacteroidota. The record is from RNAcentral.
CAACCUGCCGAUAACUCGGGGAUAGCCUUUCGAAAGAAAGAUUAAUAUCCGAUGGUAUAUUAAAACCGCAUGGUUUUACCAUUAAAGAAUUUCGGUUAUCGAUGGGGAUGCGCUCCAUUAGUUUGUUGGCGGGGUAACGGCCCACCAAGACUACGAUGGAUAGGGGUUCUGAGAGGAAGGUCCCCCACAUUGGAACUGAGACACGGUCCAAACUCCUACGGGAGGCAGCAGUGAGGAAUAUUGGUCAAUGGACGAGAGUCUGAACCAGCCAAGUAGCGUGAAGGAUGACUGCCCUAUGGGUUGUAAACUUCUUUUAUAUGGGAAUAAAGUAUUCCACGUGUGGGAUUUUGUAUGUACCAUAUGAAUAAGGAUCGGCUAACUCCGUGCCAGCAGCCGCGGUAAUACGGAGGAUCCGAGCGUUAUCCGGAUUUAUUAGGUUUAAAGGGAGCGUAGGUGGAUUGUUAAGUCAGUUGUGAAAGUUUGCGGCUCAACCGUAAAAUUGCAGUUGAUACUGGAUAUCUUGAGUGCAGUUGAGGCAGGCGGAAUUCGUGGUGUAGCGGUGAAAUGCUUAGAUAUCACGAAGAACUCCGAUUG